GAUUUACUUCGGUAAUGACGCUGGGGACGCGAGCGGCGGAUGGGUGAGUAACACGUGGGGAACCUGCCCCAUAGUCUGGGAUACCACUUGGAAACAGGUGCUAAUACCGGAUAAGAAAGCAGAUCGCAUGAUCAGCUUAUAAAAGGCGGCGUAAGCUGUCGCUAUGGGAUGGCCCCGCGGUGCAUUAGCUAGUUGGUAAGGUAACGGCUUACCAAGGCAAUGAUGCAUAGCCGAGUUGAGAGACUGAUCGGCCACAUUGGGACUGAGACACGGCCCAAACUCCUACGGGAGGCAGCAGUAGGGAAUCUUCCACAAUGGACGCAAGUCUGAUGGAGCAACGCCGCGUGAGUGAAGAAGGUUUUCGGAUCGUAAAGCUCUGUUGUUGGUGAAGAAGGAUAGAGGUAGUAACUGGCCUUUAUUUGACGGUAAUCAACCAGAAAGUCACGGCUAACUACGUGCCAGCAGCCGCGGUAAUACGUAGGUGGCAAGCGUUGUCCGGAUUUAUUGGGCGUAAAGCGAGCGCAGGCGGAAGAAUAAGUCUGAUGUGAAAGCCCUCGGCUUAACCGAGGAACUGCAUCGGAAACUGUUUUUCUUGAGUGCAGAAGAGGAGAGUGGAAUUCCAUGUGUAGCGGUGGAAUGCGUAGAUAUAUGGAAGAACACCAGUGGCGAGCGACUCUCUGGUCUGCAAAGUGCAGAAGAGGAGGCAUGCGAUGUGUAGGAGUAAUGCGUAGAUUCGAAGAACAACUCUCUGGUCUGCAACUGACGCUGAGGCUCGAAAGCAUGGGUAGCGAACAGGAUUAGAUACCCUGGUAGUCCAUGCCGUAAACGAUGAGUGCUAAGUGUUGGGAGGUUUCCGCCUCUCAGUGCUGCAGCUAACGCAUUAAGCACUCCGCCUGGGGAGUACGACCGCAAGGUUGAAACUCAAAGGAAUUGACGGGGGCCCGCACAAGCGGUGGAGCAUGUGGUUUAAUUCGAAGCAACGCGAAGAACCUUACCAGGUCUUGACAUCUAGUGCCAUCCUAAGAGAUUAGGAGUUCCCUUCGGGGACGCUAAGACAGGUGGUGCAUGGCUGUCGUCAGCUCGUGUCGUGAGAUGUUGGGUUAAGUCCCGCAACGAGCGCAACCCUUGUUAUUAGUUGCCAGCAUUAAGUUGGGCACUCUAAUGAGACUGCCGGUGAUAAACCGGAGGAAGGUGGGGAUGACGUCAAGUCAUCAUGCCCCUUAUGACCUGGGCUACACACGUGCUACAAUGGACAGUACAACGAGAAGCGAGCCUGCGAAGGCAAGCGAAUCUCUGAAAGCUGUUCUCAGUUCGGACUGCAGUCUGCAACUCGACUGCACGAAGCUGGAAUCGCUAGUAAUCGCGGAUCAGAACGCCG
Molecule: ribosomal RNA, 1378 nt
Filed under: Lactobacillus helveticus
Lineage: Bacteria; Bacillati; Bacillota; Bacilli; Lactobacillales; Lactobacillaceae
Description: bacterial SSU rRNA
Rfam family: Bacterial small subunit ribosomal RNA
Source: RNAcentral